RNAcentral lists this ribosomal RNA (373 nucleotides) under uncultured Ehrlichia sp. RNAcentral's name for it is "bacterial SSU rRNA". It matches the Rfam family "Bacterial small subunit ribosomal RNA", at positions 74 to 477 of the family's 1533-position model. Lineage: Bacteria; Pseudomonadati; Pseudomonadota; Alphaproteobacteria; Rickettsiales; Anaplasmataceae. The record is from RNAcentral.
UAGCCUCUGGCUAUAGGAAAUUGUUAGUGGCAGACGGGUGAGUAAUGCGUAGGAAUCUACCUAGUAGUACGGAAUAGCCAUUAGAAAUGGUGGGUAAUACUGUAUAAUCCCCGAGGGGGAAAGAUUUAUCGCUAUUAGAUGAGCCUACGUUAGAUUAGCUAGUUGGUGAGGUAAUGGCUUACCAAGGCUAUGAUCUAUAGCUGGUCUGAGAGGACGAUCAGCCACACUGGAACUGAGAUACGGUCCAGACUCCUACGGGAGGCAGCAGUGGGGAAUAUUGGACAAUGGGCGAAAGCCUGAUCCAGCUAUGCCGCGUGAGUGAAGAAGGCCUUCGGGUUGUAAAACUCUUUCAAUAGGGAAGAUAAUGACGGUA